RNAcentral lists this ribosomal RNA (492 nucleotides) under uncultured bacterium. RNAcentral's name for it is "partial 16S ribosomal RNA". It matches the Rfam family "Bacterial small subunit ribosomal RNA", at positions 29 to 507 of the family's 1533-position model. The record is from RNAcentral.
AGUGAACGCUGGCGGUAGGCCUAACACAUGCAAGUCGAACGGCAGCACAGUAAGAGCUUGCUCUUACGGGUGGCGAGUGGAGGACGGGUGAGGAAUACAUCGGAAUCUACUUUUUCGUGGGGGAUAACGUAGGGAAACUUACGCUAAUACCGCAUACGACCUACGGGUGAAAGCAGGGGAUCUUCGGACCUUGCGCGAUUGAAUGAGCCGAUGUCGGAUUAGCUAGUUGGCGGGGUAAAGGCCCACCAAGGCGACGAUCCGUAGCUGGUCUGAGAGGAGGAUCAGCCACACUGGGACUGAGACACGGUCCAGACUCCUACGGGAGGCAGCAGUGGGGAAUAUUGGACAAUGGGCGGAAGCCUGAUCCAGCCAUACCGCGUGGGUGAAGAAGGCCUUCGGGUUGUAAAGCCCUUUUGUUGGGAAAGAAAAGCAGCAGGUUAAUACCCCGCUGUUCUGACGGUACCCAAAGAAUAAGCACCGGCUAACUUCGUG